UACGGAGGGUGCGAGCGUUAUCCGGAUUCACUGGGUUUAAAGGGUGCGUAGGUGGGCAAGUAAGUCAGUGGUGAAAUCUCCGGGCUUAACCCGGAAACUGCCAUUGAUACUAUCUGUCUUGAAUUUCCUGGAGGUAAGCGGAAUAUGUCAUGUAGCGGUGAAAUGCUUAGAUAUGACAUAGAAUACCAAUUGCGAAGGCAGCUUACUACGGGAAUAUUGACACUGAGGCACGAAAGCGUGGGGAUCAAACAGG
Molecule: ribosomal RNA, 253 nt
Filed under: uncultured bacterium
Lineage: Bacteria
Description: partial 16S ribosomal RNA
Rfam family: Bacterial small subunit ribosomal RNA
Source: RNAcentral